Molecule: non-coding RNA, 199 nt
Organism: Meleagris gallopavo (turkey)
Lineage: Eukaryota; Metazoa; Chordata; Aves; Galliformes; Phasianidae
Source: RefSeq, a predicted model, not a curated record
AAGGCAGCUGAAGAUUGCAGUGCUGUAAGGGAUGUCAAGGACAAAACCUGUACAUCUGUGGAAUGGUGCGGGGCAAGGCGGGAAACGGAAAGCCUCCGCAGAAGCUGAUGCCAGUGGCCUUCCUCUGAAGCGCAGCCAUGUGCAAAGCCGGGAGAGGAGCACGGAGUGUGGCACAGCACCCAAGAGAGGUACAGACACA